This 871-nucleotide ribosomal RNA is filed under the name Sarcopodium flavolanatum. RNAcentral's name for it is "LSU rRNA". It matches the Rfam family "Eukaryotic large subunit ribosomal RNA", at positions 74 to 976 of the family's 3401-position model. The record is from RNAcentral. Lineage: Eukaryota; Fungi; Ascomycota; Sordariomycetes; Hypocreales; Nectriaceae.
AUUGCCCUAGUAACGGCGAGUGAAGCGGCAACAGCUCAAAUUUGAAAUCUGGCCCUCGGGUCCGAGUUGUAAUUUGUAGAGGAUGCUUUUGGCGCGGUGCCUUCCGAGUUCCCUGGAACGGGACGCCAUAGAGGGUGAGAGCCCCGUCUGGUUGGACACCAAGCCUCUGUAAAGCUCCUUCGACGAGUCGAGUAGUUUGGGAAUGCUGCUCUAAAUGGGAGGUAUAUGUCUUCUAAAGCUAAAUACCGGCCAGAGACCGAUAGCGCACAAGUAGAGUGAUCGAAAGAUGAAAAGCACUUUGAAAAGAGAGUUAAAUAGCACGUGAAAUUGUUGAAAGGGAAGCGCUUAUGACCAGACUUGGGCUUGGUUGAUCAUCCCGCGUUCUCGCGGGUGCACUCUUCCGGCUCAGGCCAGCAUCAGUUCGUCGCGGGGGAUAAAGGCGUCGGGAACGUGGCUCCCUCGGGAGUGUUAUAGCCCUUCGUGCAAUACCCUGCUUCGGACUGAGGACCGCGCUUCGGCAAGGAUGCUGGCGUAAUGGUCAUCAGCGACCCGUCUUGAAACACGGACCAAGGAGUCGUCUUCGUAUGCGAGUGUUCGGGUGUCAAACCCCUACGCGUAAUGAAAGUGAACGCAGGUGAGAGCUUCGGCGCAUCAUCGACCGAUCCUGAUGUUCUCGGAUGGAUUUGAGUAAGAGCAUACGGGGCCGGACCCGAAAGAAGGUGAACUAUGCCUGUAUAGGGUGAAGCCAGAGGAAACUCUGGUGGAGGCUCGCAGCGGUUCUGACGUGCAAAUCGAUCGUCAAAUAUGGGCAUGGGGGCGAAAGACUAAUCGAACCUUCUAGUAGCUGGUUUCCGCCGAAGUUCCCCCUCAG